This 253-nucleotide ribosomal RNA is filed under the name uncultured bacterium. RNAcentral describes it as "partial 16S ribosomal RNA". It matches the Rfam family "Bacterial small subunit ribosomal RNA", at positions 524 to 776 of the family's 1533-position model. The record is from RNAcentral.
UACGUAGGGGGCUAGCGUUGUCCGGAAUCACUGGGCGUAAAGGGCGCGUAGGUGGCCGAGCAAGGUCGCGGUGAAAGCCCGGGGCUUAACCCCGGGUCUGCAUUCGAUACGGGCAGGCUAGAGUUCGGUAGGGGAGAUCGGAAUUCCUGGUGUAGCGGUGAAAUUCGUAGAUAUUCGCAAGAACACCAGUGGCGAAGGCGGCUCACUGGCCCGAUACUGACGCUGAGGUGCGAAAGCGUGGGGAGCAAACAGG